Molecule: ribosomal RNA, 622 nt
Filed under: uncultured archaeon
Lineage: Archaea
Description: bacterial SSU rRNA
Rfam family: Archaeal small subunit ribosomal RNA
Source: RNAcentral
UGAGAAUAAUACCCCAUAGCUCACCAUGCCUGGAACGGUUGGUGGAUGAAAGCUCUGGCGGAACAGGAUGGGUCUGCGGCGUAUCAGGUAGUAGGGGGUGUAAUGGACCUCCUAGCCCUCGACGCGUACGGGUUGUGGGAGCAAUCGCCCGGAGAUGGAUUCUGAGACACGAAUCCAGACCCUACGGGGUGCAGCAGGCGCGAAAACUUGACAAUGCGAGAAAUCGUGAUCAGGGAACUCCAAUUGUCCCCGUUUUUACGGGGUUCUGAAUUGACUCUAAACAGGUCGAGUAAUAGGGGCGGGAAAUAUCGGUGCCAGCCGCCGCGGUAAUACCGAAGCCCCAAGUGGUCGUCGUUCUUAUUGGGCCUAAAACGUCCGUAGCCGGUUUGGUACAUUCGUGGGUAAAUCAGACAGCUUAACUGUCUGAAUUCUGCGAGCACGGCCAAACUUGAGACCGGGAGAGGUGUAGGGUACCUGCGGGGUAGGGGUAAAAUCCUGUCAUCCCGUAGGGACCACCAGUUGCGAAGGCUCUACACUAGAACGGAUCUGACGGUCAGGGACGAAGCCUAGGGGCACGAACCGGAUUAGAUACCCGGGUAGUCCUAGGUGUAAACGCUGUGGA